GGGUCCAGACUAGCCAUGCACGUCUAAGUACAAACUAAAUGAUGGUGAAACUGCAAAUGGGCUCAUUACAACGGUUAUGAUGUACCCGGGAGUUCCGAUGGAUAUUUCCAGUAACACUAGAACUAAUACAUGUCCCUGCGUUUAUUAGUUUCGCACAGUCCGUCGCUGAGUCAUGGUAAACAGUUGAUCGACUCGACGUCCCGGAACAGUUUCCGCCCCAUCAGCUUCGAUGGUUGGGUAUUGGCCUACCAUUGCAACAACGGGUAACGAGGAAUUAGGGUUUGAUUUCGGAGAGGGAGCCUGAGAAACGGCUACCACAUCUACGGAUGGCAGCAGGCGCGCAAAUUACCCAAUGCAGACACUGUGAGGUAGUGACGAGAAAUAAUAAAGCGGGACUUCUGUUUCGCUAUUAUAAUGAGGAAUAACUAAAGGUCAUUCCGAUUAGCAACUGAUGGGAAAGUCUGGUGCCAGCAGCCGCGGUAAUACCAGCGUCAGUAGCA
Molecule: ribosomal RNA, 500 nt
Filed under: uncultured Myrionecta
Lineage: Eukaryota; Ciliophora; Litostomatea; Cyclotrichida; Mesodiniidae
Description: SSU rRNA
Rfam family: Eukaryotic small subunit ribosomal RNA
Source: RNAcentral